UCCCGCCUGCCCAGUGACUCUUUAAACGGCCGCGGUAUCCUAACCGUGCAAAGGUAGCAUAAUCACUUGUCCCCUAAAUAGGGACUAGAAUGAACGGCUAAAUGAGGACAAAACUGUCUCUUACGGACCAGCCAAUGAAAUUGAUCUUCCAGUACAAAAGCUGGAAUAAACCCAUAAGACGAGAAGACCCUGUGGAGCUUUAAAACCAAAACCACCAAACAUGUUUUUUGGUUUUUUAGUUGGGGCGACUUUGGAGAAAAAAUAAUCCUCCAAACUACAAACCCAUUUAUUAAGAAUAACACAUCAAAAAUAAUCAAAUAGACCCAGCAACAUUUUUAUGUUGUCUGACCAAUGAACCAAGUUACCCCAGGGAUAACAGCGCCAUCCUCUUCUAGAGUCCCUAUCGACAAGAGGGUUUACGACCUCGAUGUUGGAUCAGGACACCCCUAUAGUGCAGCCGCUUUAAAAGGUUCGUUUGUUCAACGAUUAAAGUCCUACGUGAUCU
RNAcentral lists this ribosomal RNA (505 nucleotides) under Podarcis vaucheri. RNAcentral describes it as "partial 16S ribosomal RNA". It matches the Rfam family "Bacterial large subunit ribosomal RNA", at positions 1853 to 2606 of the family's 2925-position model. Lineage: Eukaryota; Metazoa; Chordata; Lepidosauria; Squamata; Lacertidae. The record is from RNAcentral.